UACGUAGGUGGCAAGCGUUGUCCGGAAUUAUUGGGCGUAAAGCGCGCGCAGGCGGUCCUUUAAGUCUGAUGUGAAAGCCCACGGCUCAACCGUGGAGGGUCAUUGGAAACUGGGGAACUUGAGUGCAGGAGAGAAGAGUGGAAUUCCACGUGUAGCGGUGAAAUGCGUAGAGAUGUGGAGGAACACCAGUGGCGAAGGCGGCUUUCUGGUCUGUAACUGACGCUGAGGCGCGAAAGCGUGGGGAGCAAACAGG
RNAcentral lists this ribosomal RNA (253 nucleotides) under uncultured bacterium. RNAcentral describes it as "partial 16S ribosomal RNA". It matches the Rfam family "Bacterial small subunit ribosomal RNA", at positions 524 to 776 of the family's 1533-position model. The record is from RNAcentral.